GCUCGAGCAGAAGGGCCGGCUGCAGCGCCUGGUCGCCAAAGAUGUAAGUGCCCGGUGCCAGACCAUAAGUGCCAGCUUUGGGGGACACUCGGGCAUGGCCAGCACCCCGCGGCCCUUCUCCUGCCCACAGUGCCGUGCUGGGGUACUCCCAAGCCUGGGGAAGGGGCCGGGGCAGCCCAGCUCACAUCCCACUCUCCCUGCAGGUGCAGCCUCCGGAUCCAGCCAGCAUCCGUGUGCUGCGGGGACACCAGCUGCCUGUCACCUGCCUGGUCAUCUCUCCCGAUGACAAGUUCAUCUUUUCUGGGUCCAAGGACGGCUCCCUCAUCAAAUGCAAGUGUUCACCUGAGGCUGCAACUGGCUGUUCUGCAGGGGACCCUGCAGCAUCAGGGCUGUGGGUGCCUGUGGUGGUGACUUAGCCCUUGGCUGCUCUGGGAAUGUGCAUUGUUUUGGGAUCUGUAGGAGGCUCGUUAGCACUUUUGGGAAUGGUUCUGGGCUUCGUUGGAGGCUCAUUAGCACUUUUGGGAGUGGUGGGAGGCUCCCAGAGGGUGAUGGUGGCCGUACCUUUCCCACAGGGGAGGUGGACAGCGGGAAGAGGCUGUGCGUGGUGCCCGGGGGGAAGAAGGGCACGGAGGAGCGGCACAUGGGACACGCAUCCCACAUCCUCUGCAUGGCCAUCUCAUCGGAUGACAAGUACCUGGCCACAGGAGACAGGAACAAGUUGAUCAUGAUCUGGGACACAGCCACUUGCAAGCGCCUGCACAUCUUCACAGGGCACCGUGACGCUGUCUCGGUGAGUCAGGGGCAUCAGGUGUGGUGCCUGUGAUGCCUGUGGGGCUGGGCAGCCCCAUCCU
Long non-coding RNA from Manacus vitellinus (golden-collared manakin), 851 nucleotides. NCBI's taxonomy places the organism in Eukaryota, Metazoa, Chordata, Aves, Passeriformes, Pipridae. The record is from Ensembl.